This 2675-nucleotide long non-coding RNA is filed under the name Triticum aestivum (bread wheat). RNAcentral describes it as "long non-coding RNA (TAES_LNC017728)". Lineage: Eukaryota; Viridiplantae; Streptophyta; Magnoliopsida; Poales; Poaceae. The record is from RNAcentral.
CCCCGCGAACCUCCCCCACCUCUCCACGAGUCGCCAGAGCCACUAUGGCCUCGAGUCCCAUCGCCACCCGUAGCCUCUUCCGCCGUGACCCGUGCCAUCGUCAUUCUGAUCCUUCUCGGCGUCCGUGCAGUGCGGGGAUGGACGCGGCACUCUUCCCCGAGCUCGUCGGUGCUCGGAGCGUCGGCAACGGUGGCCGGAGUCGCCGGGGCUCGUCGCCGGAGCCGCGCCCCUGCUCUGCUCCGUCGGGCACGCGCGAGGAGGAAGAAAGAGCCAGGCCAGGCGGGCCCCCUCCUUUCCCCGACCCCACCUGGCAGCCACUCAGGCCCGGCCCCGCCCCUGCAUGCGUUGACCCGGGCGGCCAGCAUGGAUAAGUGACGGGCCCCACCCCGUGGGACCCACACGUCAGCGACCCCAGCCCCGGACCCGCGCGCGCUUAAGUGGAAGCGUACUUCAGGAAGUACGUUUUCGCGUGAAGUAAGCGUAUUCCGCCUCUGCUUUACUUGAAUACGCUUUCUCCGUUCUGAAGACGUAUUUCCUAAAAUGUGUUUUUUGUUUUUCAGCUCAGGGGCCUGUUUGUAGAGUUAUUUUUAUAGAUUGGUCCCUGAACUUCGUCGGGCUAUAACUUUUUGCUCGCAACUCCGUUUGAGGUGAAUCCAAAGCCCACUUCUUCGUUUCGUCGAGCCCGUUCUGAUGGAAUUAUUUUCACCAUGUUUUGACAUUCUGAAAAUGACCAUUUUGCCCCUGCCCUUAUUCAGUCCCCUCCGAGAGAGUACGUUUUCCGGCUAUCCUUUCUGCGAGUUUCUCACACUUUCUCCCGGUGAUUUCUUCCACCCCACUCAAGACACAGCCUCCAUUUGCAUGAUUGCAAUGCAGUGACAUGGUUUAUUUAUUUGAACCUAUUUAAAAUAUUGCAUUAGCUAUGUGUGAUCUGUUCAUGGCAUUUCUCGGAGUAUGGUUUUGAUCUUGAUAUUGCCAUGAUAUUGCUUGGAGUUCUAGGACAUAUGUUUUGAUGAUUAUGUGGAUGACAUGUGCCUUUGGAUUCUUAGUGGCUAUUAUGAUUAUUUUCAUGAUGGUAUCUGGUAUUACUUUGGAGUAUUACUUUGGAUAUCAUGUUGCCUUUGGAUUAUUAGUGGCUAGUGUUAGUUUUAUCAUGAUGCUAGUUGAUAUUAUGUUUUGGAGUAUGAUGAUGGAGAUGAUGCUUGCAUGUGGAUCAUAGCUGGAUAGUUAGUUCUUGAUAUUUGAGUAGUAGUAUUAUCGUUCUUGGAUUCAUCAUGAUAGUAGUGUUAUACUGUCCUCGGAGUAUUUUGAUAUGACGAUAUUAAGCUUUGGAUUACUUGUUGGAUAUUGCUAUGACUUGGAUUAUAGGUUGAUAAAUGAUAUCGGAGUAUCAGUCAUUACUAUUAUAUUUUGGGGAUAAAUUCCGUCAUUAAGUUGGUCAGGUGCCACCGAACCGGGCUUUUUCCAGUGCAACCACAUUUGCCUUUUAUGGGGAGGCCCUAAUGCGGUCUAUUGUCGUGCCUCUCGCCGGUGCCUCCAACGAGGGAAGGUUAUGGGCGUGCGGUACCCUGGCCCGGUAAGCAGACAUAACCUUGAGUGCCCGUUGUUGUUGUUAUGGAUCCGGGUCCCCGUUUGGGACCGUUUAUGUUUUGGCCACGACGGUCGUCGUUGUGUCUUUGGUAGACACGGGGCCACCCAGGACUAGCCUAGUGGGGAGUGAGUCGGAGUGGCCGGGAGAGUGUCACGGCAGUAGAUCGGUUUUGUCGGAACGCUGUUGGUCCACCCGAAUGGGAGUGCGAGGCCAUGGGUUCCGUGGUGUGGGUAAAGUGCGCUACCUCUACAGAGUGUGUAAUUAAAUCUAUCGAUAGCCGCGUCCUCGGUCAUGGGCAUGGGUUCGUACUAGGUCACACCGUUCAAUCAACACUCACAUGAUGGAAUGACUUAUAGGUGAUUUAUAUGUGGAUAUUUUGAGCAGUACAGAUUGGCAUGAUGUUGAUGAUGAUGUUGAGACCAAGUGUUGGUCAUGGUUGUGAUCGCUGGAAAGAUCACCGUUUGGUUUUGAUCACGAGGUGAUCGAGAUGGUAUAUUGCUUGGCCGGUGAGCCAAGAGAGAUAUGGUUAUGGAGAUCUGAGAUGGUGAUUUAUUAGUAUUGUAGUAGUUUCAUAUCAUGCUUAGUAGUUGCUGUCGUAUCAUGGUAGAUGUUAAUUUAAUUAACCUGCUUAAUGCUAUGUUGUUGUUUUGCCUUGAUGCUUCUGGUUGUUGUGAGCUUGCAAGUACAUUCAAUGUAUUGACCUGGCGUGUCAUGCCAGAUUGCAGGUGCUGCCGUGAUUGCUUGAUUGUUUGUUGAGGUGUCUGUUCGUGCGAGCUAGAUCGUGUCCCAGCCAGAGUCCCUACGGAGUGGAGUUCACCACCUUCGUCGUUGUUCCGCUGCUAGAAGUUUUUCGCUGCUACGAGUUGUUCCGCUGCUAGCAUAGAGCAAGUGUAGCAUCGCAGGCGUAGUGUCGCCAUGCUGAUGUGAUCAUUGUAACAUCAGACCCGUGUAAUUAUUAUUCUUGUAAUAAGAGCUGAUUUUUUCUAUGUCAAACAGUGCCGUAUUCCAGAGACUUCUCCUUGAUCUCUGGGCUGGAAUACGGGGCAUUCCGGUUUCUCUGAGCCGGGGUGCCACAAGGAGAGGUUCU